This is a long non-coding RNA of Varanus komodoensis (Komodo dragon), 413 nucleotides long. RefSeq lists it as uncharacterized. NCBI's taxonomy places the organism in Eukaryota, Metazoa, Chordata, Lepidosauria, Squamata, Varanidae. The record is from RefSeq and is a predicted model, not a curated record. The transcript is spliced from 2 exons.
AAAAAAGUAUCAGACAGGCAUGCCCUAGGGGUAAGAGAAUGACUCAGUGAUCACUUUAUUUUCCUGGACUCUGGAGACUAGAUGAUAAAUUCCUUGCCAGACUGUAGGUUGGCAGCCAUUACGGCUGUAACUCCUCAAUGGUUCCAGAAUUGGGUUGGUCUGCCUCCGCAUCUGCCCAUGGGCUAAUUUCUCCCACUGCCACCUCCUCUUGAAUCCCAGGACCUUGAACUGCAGCUGGAAGCUACCCUUUUUCAAAAACAGCUUCAUCCUCAAAACUGGAAUCUGAAUCAUCAGUACAACCAGCAUGGGGAGUCUUCUGUGAGUGCGUUUGAAGGUUUGAUAGGACCCAUGUGCACAACACCAAAUUUCAGAUUACAUGUGCCCUUUGUCUGAUAAAACAUAACGUCUCUGUU